CUGGUCAGCGGAACCCACUUUGUCCUGAGCCUUCUUGUGACCAGCAGGACACAGCACGUGGGGCUCAUCUCCUCACUGGGAGCAUUGGAGAGUGGUCUGCCAUUCCCCUCCCAUGUUUGUGGAAAGGCCACCAGGACCUGGUCCAAAUCUUAUUGGAUCCAAUCAAAGGCCACAUCGACUGUGCUAAAGCAGUGUGACACAGUGGGGAAGAGCUAAUGUCUGAGAAGUUUUGUCUACAUGGCAGCAAGCGUGUCAGGAAACAGGCAGAUGGCAGAUGCGGAAUAUUCUGUGGAUGAUGUCCUCAUCGAUGUCUGCGGAGACGAACUCCACCUGGAUGGGUCCGUAGCACCCAGAGGUCUUCUCAGGCCAGUACUGCAUACAGAGCUGGGACAAAGAGAGAGGUCACAGAAAAAGGCCAAGGACAAGGGGGGUCGUCAGUCGCAAGGAUCACUGAGCUUUCCCUAUUGCUGGCAGGACACCUCGGCUGGAAAGACAGUGUAUUAUGUAGGAAAUCAGACUCAGCUUCCCCUUUGGUGUUGAAAUGCCAAGCCGCUGAGUACAGAAACACUGGGCCUAAACAUUUUGCCAUGUGGAUUUCAAACCAUGUGUUAGACUUGCAGGACCUCAGUUUCCUAAUCUGUAAAAUAGGGAGAAUAAUACCCACCUUGAAGCCCUGCUGUCAGAAUUAGAUAGAAUGCUCAGGGAAGAGAAAAUACAAUCUAGUUUUUUUUUUUUUUUCACCACACGGA
This is a long non-coding RNA of Lemur catta (Ring-tailed lemur), 749 nucleotides long. RefSeq lists it as uncharacterized. The transcript has 3 exons. The record is from RefSeq and is a predicted model, not a curated record. Lineage: Eukaryota; Metazoa; Chordata; Mammalia; Primates; Lemuridae.